Molecule: ribosomal RNA, 467 nt
Filed under: uncultured bacterium
Lineage: Bacteria
Description: partial 16S ribosomal RNA
Rfam family: Bacterial small subunit ribosomal RNA
Source: RNAcentral
GAUGAACGCUGGCGGCGUGCUUAACACAUGCAAGUCGAACGGAAAGGCUCCUGCUUGCAGGGGUACUCGAGUGGCGAACGGGUGAGUAACACGUGGGUGAUCUGCCCUGCACUUCGGGAUAAGCCUGGGAAACUGGGUCUAAUACCGGAUAGGACCACAUUUUGGAUGGUGUGGUGGAAAGUUUUUCGGUGUGGGAUGAGCUCGCGGCCUAUCAGCUUGUUGGUGGGGUAAUGGCCUACCAAGGCGUCGACGGGUAGCCGGCCUGAGAGGGUGUACGGCCACAUUGGGACUGAGAUACGGGCCAGACUCCUACGGGAGGCAGCAGUGGGGAAUAUUGCACAAUGGGCGCAAGCCUGAGGCAGCGACGCCGCGUGGGGGAUGACGGCCUUCGGGGUGUAAACUCCUUUCGCUAGGGACGAAGCGUUUUUGUGACGGUACCUGGAGAAGAAGCACCGGCUAACUACGUG